CUUUAUUGGAGAGUUUGAUCCUGGCUCAGGACGAACGCUGGCGGCAUGCCUAAUACAUGCAAGUCGAGCGGACUUGAAGAGAAGCUUGCUUCUCGGAUAGUUAGCGGCGGACGGGUGAGUAACACGUAGGCAACCUGCCCUCAAGCUUGGGACAACUACCGGAAACGGUAGCUAAUACCGAAUACUUGUUUUCUUC
RNAcentral lists this ribosomal RNA (196 nucleotides) under Paenibacillus polysaccharolyticus. RNAcentral describes it as "16S rRNA. Bacterial SSU". It matches the Rfam family "Bacterial small subunit ribosomal RNA", at positions 1 to 187 of the family's 1533-position model. The record is from RNAcentral. Lineage: Bacteria; Bacillati; Bacillota; Bacilli; Caryophanales; Paenibacillaceae.